RNAcentral lists this ribosomal RNA (396 nucleotides) under Meganyctiphanes sp. RNAcentral describes it as "partial small subunit ribosomal RNA". It matches the Rfam family "Eukaryotic small subunit ribosomal RNA", at positions 582 to 975 of the family's 1831-position model. Lineage: Eukaryota; Metazoa; Arthropoda; Malacostraca; Euphausiacea; Euphausiidae. The record is from RNAcentral.
AUUCCAGCUCCAAUAGCGUAUAUUAAAGUUGUUGCGGUUAAAAAGCUCGUAGUUGGAUCUCAGUUCCGGACCGACGGUACGCCGCCCGGCGUCUACUGUCGGCUUCCGAACGCUAAAGCCCGUCGGCUCGGUCGGGGUGCUCUUCAUCGAGUGUCCCGGGCGGCCGGCACGUUUACUUUGAAAAAAUUAGGGUGCUCAGAGCAGGCCAAGGCGCCUGAAUACUUGUGCAUGGAAUAAUGGAAUAGGACCUCGGUUCUAUUUUGUUGGUUUUAAGAGCCCGAGGUAAUGAUUAAUAGGAACAGACGGGGGCAUUCGUAUUGCGACGUUAGAGGUGAAAUUCUUGGAUCGUCGCAAGACGAACUACUGCGAAAGCAUUUGCCAAGAAUGUUUUCAUCA